This is a long non-coding RNA of Solanum pennellii, 739 nucleotides long. RefSeq lists it as uncharacterized. The record is from RefSeq and is a predicted model, not a curated record. The transcript is spliced from 2 exons. NCBI's taxonomy places the organism in Eukaryota, Viridiplantae, Streptophyta, Magnoliopsida, Solanales, Solanaceae.
UAAUAGAUUAUAAAUCCAUGACUUCAGACUGGCGCGAACACGCUGGUAUUUUCAAAGAGAUCCAUCAAGUCCAAAGUCUGCAAAACCAACAAGGUGGUCACUUGUUAGGAACAAAAUUGUGUGGAAGCAUGACGAAGAUGAAGAAAAUUGGACAAAAAAGUGUCAAGUUUUUAAAGGAAAGAAUAAAGAAAUUAACAAGGCUAUGUGAUCUUCUUAGCUUGGACGAAACUGAUGUUGUAAUGGUCAUGUAAGCAAGCAAAGGAGUAAUUAAAUGCCCAUGAAACAUAAAUCUAUCAAGGCUGCUGAACAAGAACUCAAUGUGAUGAAACCAAGCAAGGUGAGACUUUUAGUAGUACAUUUGGACGAAAAAAAACAGGUUUGAGUAAAUCACUCUUGGCACGACAUGCCAGGAUAAUCUUCAGCCCAGUUUUGUACUCCGAAUUACAUCAAUGGUAUUUUCAUCUAGGGUUAUUUCUACACGCUGUAUAAGCACGGUAAACACAAUGUAAGAGAAGUUCUUGGAGGUGCACAAGGGCUAGAAACGGUGAAAGCAAGAUUCUUUUGUAGGGUUUUUCUUUCUCUCUUUAUUUCUUGCAUUUCAUAAUUUCUUCAAAAGAUUUUGUGCUUGCUGCCUUAAAUAUGUGUAGCUAAGCUUUAUUUCUAGGGGUUUGACGGAAUCUUUUAUUGUUUGAAUUAUUCAUGUUGUCUUUCUUUAAUGAAAUCAAGUUUAUUCUGUUUA